UCUGGCGGUAGUAGCGAGGGGGAAACACCUGAUCCCAUUCCGAACUCAGCAGUUAAGACCUUCAGCGCCGAUGAUACUAUCACAUGAUGGGAAAGUAGGUCAUUGCCAGUU
RNAcentral lists this ribosomal RNA (111 nucleotides) under bacterium. The record is from RNAcentral.